GACGGAGGAGGCAAGCGUUAUCCGGAAUGAUUGGGCGUAAAGAGUCCGUAGGUGGAACUUCAAGUCUAUUGUUAAAGAGCAAAGCUUAACUUUGUAAAGGCAGUGGAAACUGAAGAACUAGAGAGGGGCAGGGGCAAAGGGAAUUCCUGGUGUAGCGGUGAAAUGCGUAGAGAUCAGGAAGAACACCGGUGGCGAAAGCGCUUUGCUGGGCCCAUUCUGACACUGAGGGACGAAAGCUAGGGGAGCGAAU
RNAcentral lists this ribosomal RNA (250 nucleotides) under uncultured bacterium. RNAcentral describes it as "partial 16S ribosomal RNA". It matches the Rfam family "Bacterial small subunit ribosomal RNA", at positions 524 to 773 of the family's 1533-position model. The record is from RNAcentral.